UGUCUUUUGUGACACUGUAGCUGGAGAGCACUAAGUCAGCACUGUGUGGUCUGACUGAGGCGGAGUCUAAGGCUGGUGAUCUCACAGAAGCUGAGAGCAAAGCAGUGGUUACAGAGGCAGGAGAGUUACAAAGUUGAAGUUGAAGGAGACAUGCAUUCUGGUUGUGUCUGACACACUGAAGAAGCUAGAAGAGUGUUCUCACCACAGAGCCCUGCUGGGUGUGUGCAAUCACCAUGCUCACCAGACUUGGGUGUGUCAAAAGUGGCCAGCCAGAGCUCCAGCUGUUCCCAGGCAGACAGGCCUGCGAGUCGCACACCUGUGCCAGGCCCCAUAGGCAGAGCUCACAGGCCCUUCGAGAUGUGGAAGCGGCAUGUCUCCGGAGUUCUCAGCCCUAGGAUCUGGGGUAAGCAAAAGUGCUGCCGUGGGUGGUUUGUCUAGUGCCCAGAGUGCUUGUGGGAGGGUGAGCCUCUCCUGAGGGAUUAGGCAGGGACAGAAUCCCUGAAGCCACACAAUUAUUUUCCAGUUUGACUUCUGUGUCCUUUCAAGUUGUAGCGUGCUGCACUUGGCUUUAAGAGCCCCACGGAAGCCUAAUAGGGAACACGUUGGAGUGUGAUAACUCUGGGCUGGUAUUGUUUGAGAAGAUAAGCAGAAAGGGGCAGGGGACUCUGAAUCCACUUAUCGGUGCCUUAGCAGGAAUGGGGGCUCUCUGCAACCCCACCUAACAAGCUGCAGUGUUUUCCCAGGAUUCUGUGGGGCACCUGCCUUGAAAAGCUUUGCUCCCAGAGGCCCAGGCCCAGCGUGUGUGUGUGUGUAUGUGUGUGUGUGUGUGUGUGUGUAACUCCUACAGGGCAGAAUGUCCUGCGGUUGGUUGGCCCCUCAAACCUCUGGAACCCCGUAGAGACUGUUUUAAGGUCACAUCUCAAUCCUGGAGGAGGGUGAGAGGGGACAGAUGUAAGCCCUAGUUCCUGUUAUAUAAUUAGACGGAACUCUUCCUUCCAGGAGGAGCAAAAUGAGGCCAAGGACGGCCUAAGCCUUGAGAUUGCUUCUUGCAGUGGCCUGGGCAAGUAGGCCACGGGGAUUUGUGCUCUGGUCAGGAGGUCCUGCCUUGGCUUCCGAGGGCCAGGAGCGGUGCACCUUACAUUCCUUUUAGGGUAAAACCCUUGGUUUUCUGUUCCAAGUGGAGGUCAGGGGGAGCAAGCAGCAGCUGUGGACUCUGUCACUGAUGGCUACUGUGUCAUUCUGGUUUUGACAGUCCUCGUGGCCCCUGGUUGUUGUAAGUACGACAAACACGUGUGCCUCAUUAUUUUCAAAGUUGAGCGCCAGGCUGGCCCUUUUCUGUCAUUUAUGUGAUAGUGAAAAGCUGAUGUUUUAUUAAGUGUAGACAGGGCAGCUCAC
RNAcentral lists this long non-coding RNA (1395 nucleotides) under Mus spicilegus (steppe mouse). RNAcentral's name for it is "lncRNA (ENSMSIG00000011552.1)". The record is from RNAcentral. Lineage: Eukaryota; Metazoa; Chordata; Mammalia; Rodentia; Muridae.